GGACAGUACUGACGCUGAGAUGCGAAAGCGUGGGGAGCAAACAGGAUUAGAUACCUGGUAGUCCACGCUGUAAACGAUGUCGAUUUGGAGUUUGUUGCCUAGAGUGAUGGGCUCCGAAGCUAACGCGAUAAAUCGACCGCUGGGGAGUACGGCCGCAAGGUUAAAACUCAAAUGAAUUGACGGGGGCCCGCACAAGCGGUGGAGCAUGUGGUUUAAUUCGAUGCAACGCGAAGAACCUUACCUGGUCUUGACAUCCAUAGAAUUCUGCAGAGAUGUGGGAGUGCCUUCGGGAACUAUGAGACAGGUGCUGCAUGGCUGUCGUCAGCUCGUGUUGUGAAAUGUUGGGUUAAGUCCCGCAACGAGCGCAACCCCUAUUCUUUGUUGCCAGCGAUUUGGUCGGGAACUCAAAGGAGACUGCCGUUGAUAAAGCGGAGGAAGGUGGGGACGACGUCAAGUCAUCAUGGCCCUUACGACCAGGGCUACACACGUGCUACAAUGGCGUAUACAAAGGGAAGCGAAGGUGCGAGCUGGAGCGGAUCUCAUAAAGUACGUCUAAGUUCGGAUUGGAGUCUGCAACUCGACUCCAUGAAGUCGGAAUCGCUAGUAAUCGUAGAUCAGAAUGCUACGGUGAAUACGUUCCCGGGCCUUGUACACACCGCCCGUCACACCAUGGGAGUGGGUUGCACCAGAAGUAGAUAGCUUAACCGCGAGGGGGGCGUUUACCACGGUGUGAUUCAUGACUGGGGUGAAGUCGUAACAAGGUAACCA
This 768-nucleotide ribosomal RNA is filed under the name uncultured Enterobacteriaceae bacterium. RNAcentral's name for it is "bacterial SSU rRNA". It matches the Rfam family "Bacterial small subunit ribosomal RNA", at positions 732 to 1502 of the family's 1533-position model. Lineage: Bacteria; Pseudomonadati; Pseudomonadota; Gammaproteobacteria; Enterobacterales; Enterobacteriaceae. The record is from RNAcentral.